GACGAACCGUGCGAACGUUAUUCGGAAUCACUGGGCUUAAAGCGCGUGUAGGCGGCCCGGCACGUCAUCGGCUGAAAUCCCCCGGCUCAACCGGGGAAGGGGCCGUGAUACGACCGGGCUGGAGGGGGGUAGGGGGGACGGGAACUUCCGGUGGAGCGGUGAAAUGCGUUGAGAUCGGAAGGAACGCCCGCGGCGAAAGCGCGUCCCUGGACCCCGCCUGACGCUGAGACGCGAAAGCCAGGGGA
This 245-nucleotide ribosomal RNA is filed under the name uncultured bacterium. RNAcentral's name for it is "partial 16S ribosomal RNA". It matches the Rfam family "Bacterial small subunit ribosomal RNA", at positions 524 to 767 of the family's 1533-position model. The record is from RNAcentral.